AGACCCUCUUCCCCCUGUCUGGGUCACCGCACCACGUGGCGUGUUGUGUCUGAGCACAUCGGGGACGUUUUGAUUAGAAAGAAGGAGGAAAAAAGCAGUUCUGGGUUACAAAAACCAAGGCCAAAGCCAUUUCUGGUCCUUCCGGUUCAUCCAUAAGGAUCCAGCCGUGGCAGAAGGAUCAUGAUGAACUAAAGAACCGCAGCUCUCUUCUCAUUUCAAGGGUAAUUUCUCUUUGAGUUCCUCAUGAAAAACACCACACUGGGGUAAAUACAGAGAGCAGGGGCUCAGGGAUAUUCUUGUUUGGGAUCAUUCUGGUUUAGAAAGGAAGAAAAAUGAUUUGAAAGUUUGAUGCAUUUUCUCUGUGGUCGUGCAUUUUCAGUGUGUGUUUCACUGAAUUCGCCUCUUUUUUUUUUACUAUUUAAUUUUUCUUAUACAUCUUUAAUUUCAUUUUCUGGUUUUUAUGAAGUCCCUCAGUGUGUUUUUGUGGUGAGCUGCCAUGGUAUUACCAAUGCGUCUGAAAUACUGCAGACAGAAAGACAGCCACUUGAAAGCAGUAAUGAGCGGACUGCUGAACCUCUGAAAGUAUCUGGGUGCGUUCGGCGUGAUGUUCACACUUUGCUGACCUUGCAGAAGCCUUGGAGGAGCUGCAGUUUCGGAGCUAGUUCUGCACAGUAAGAGGCUCCCCAGUGAGAGAACACUGACACUUAUACCAGGCACAACAUUAGCUGCAUGCUCUUAGCAUGGAGGCAUGUGGAGCAAACAAUGAAUCAAGGCUGUUUAUAAAGCCUUCAACACAUCAGGCAGUGGAGAAGAGCCCAAGUUUCCACGUAAAGGUCUGAAUGGACAAGAAUGACGUGAAACACAUGGAAAAUAUGGAAAAUGUGGAAUAAGUAAUAAAAUUAUAAAUAAAACAAAUACAAUAAAUUGGGAA
Pezoporus occidentalis (night parrot) is the source of this 931-nucleotide long non-coding RNA. RefSeq lists it as uncharacterized. Lineage: Eukaryota; Metazoa; Chordata; Aves; Psittaciformes; Psittacidae. The transcript has 3 exons. The record is from RefSeq and is a predicted model, not a curated record.